GGGUUUUUGGGAUAUUUUUGAAAGAAAAAUUGAAAACCGGAAGUCGAAAUGCAAUUUAGAAAAGUUUUGCAACAUAGGAUGCCCAGUUAGCAGCCCCAACGAACCAGAACGAGCCGCGUGGUAACGGGCACUGAUGCGGUGCCAUGCGAGAGGCCACGCGGGCGAUCCGCGUGCCCGUGAUCGAAUUACUUAGAUCCGUUCCCGCGCACACGAACGGCUCAAAUGCAUUCCCUCCACAAACGCGAUCAGACGGUUAAAUUUAAACGCGAUCAGACAGUUCAGAUUAAAUCGCAAUGAACGGACCAGAUUAGAUCGCGAUGAACGGCUCAGAUUCACUCCCUAUUUAAUCGCGAUCAGACAGUACAGAUCAAACGCGAUGGGCAACCUAGAUUAAAAGGGGAUGAUUAUAAAUAACCUUUUUCACACCAAACUCUAACCCUAGCCGCCAAUCGCCUCACCGGAGAAGAAGACCCAGCCGCCGGAAAAGAGAGCCGGCGCCACCCGCCACCGCGCCAGAGCUACUUCCGACCGCCAAAAGAGCUAAAAAAUUUUCUUUUUGCUUAGAAUUCAAUUUUAAACACCCUCAUGGCCAAAUCGGAGUAAAAGGACUAGCCGAUUGGCCCGAAAUCACAGGUAAAGCACGGUGUCGCCGCCGCAGGGAUUUUCACAAAACGCCUCCGAUGAGGCCCUUCCCGAUUCUCGUUCUGUGUAAUUUUUCCACCACUGUGAUCACAGUAUCCUUUUCUACAGGUUGAUCAGAGCAAAAUAUCCAACCGCAACGUGAGCUGGAAGAGCCGCCGCACCGGAGAGCUCCACUGCCGGUGAGUUUUGAUUCUUUAUGUUUUUCAGGCAAUUGAGGCCUCCUUACGUAUUUUCUCGCAGGAAUUGAUGCAAAACUGGCCAAAUUCGAUCGAAAACGGCCGAAAAUAGCCAACCCGAGGCGGACCACCGCCGUGCCGAAAUUCCAGAAUUGGCCAAAAUGGGCCCUGAAACUGAUUUUGGCUUUGUUUGGGACAUUUGUAGGUAUUUAUAGCGCGUUCUAAUUCCCGAAGAAAAAUUCAGGGAAUCCGGGAACCACCAGUAUAUGUAGUCAGCAAUUUAGUCUU
This 1106-nucleotide long non-coding RNA is filed under the name Carica papaya (papaya). RNAcentral describes it as "long non-coding RNA (CPAP_LNC010505)". The record is from RNAcentral. Lineage: Eukaryota; Viridiplantae; Streptophyta; Magnoliopsida; Brassicales; Caricaceae.